UAAAAAUAAUUAACUUUUAGUUUUUUUAUUUUUCAUUUAAUUUCCAUUAAACUCGAAUUCAAAAUUUCAAAUUAUAUCGGUACAAUCUAUUAUUGCUGCCUAAUUCCUGUUCAGGUUGUGCCAAUACUCAUUUUCCCACAUUUCCACUUGUUUAAUGGAUUUAGCUUUUCUAUUCAGAAAAUGUCGGAGAUCAUAGGGAGGAGGCAAUGUGCAUGGAUUUUUAUCACUAGGAGACAUCACCAUAGACUCCAACAUGAACUUCCUGUAGGUGCCAUUUGCUGGGCAGCCCAUUGUUUCUGAACAUACCUCCACUGCUUCUGCUGGUAUUGUUGGUUUGUAUUUCAAGAGUUUUGCAUAUUCGUUUAGCAGAUGAAACAUGUAAUCAUAUAUAUAAUCCAUCUUCAUAUCCUCUUGUAUGAAGUUGCUGGCAGCCUCUCCUAUUGCUUCUACCUCUUGAGUAUGAUUGUUGCCCCAUUCUACUGCAAAUUUGAGAGAGGUGCACUUGGAAUUGUCCCUGAUAGGCCAGUAGUGCUGCAAUGGGAGCAUACCUCUUAUGAAGAAAUCAUGGUAGCGAGGCUUUACGUACAAGGUCAUGGAAUCACAUGCUAGAAUGUAUUUCUCGCUCACAGACCAGGCCCAUCCCUCUAUAUAGAUCUUAUAUCUGUGGGUGCAUUGAUCUUGUAGAUUUGAUUGUUUAUACCCUUGUUUAGAUUCACGAUUCCAGUCCUGAAUAUAUAGACGAGUAUUCCAGUCAUUUUGGUGCGAGACAUUGCAUUUGAGAAGGUCUUUUCUGGUUGGAGCAACGUUUGGGUUCCCUUUCCAAUAAGCGUAAGGUGUCCUAUCCUUCCAUUUGGUUCUCUUGUUACCUUCUUUUAUGUCCUUCAACACAUUUUUCCAAGGCCUAAUAUUGGUCUCAGCCCAGCCCCAAAAUGACCAGUCAGGGAACACAAUAUCCAAACUCUGCCCAUCGGCACAGUAGCGAAACAAAGGUGGUGGGCCGGUGGAAUUUGGACCCUGAAAGUCCUUUGACCGGACUACAGGCCUAUCAUCACAAUCAAACAUGAGUUCUAAGUCAGGUAAUCUUCCAGGAUACCACCUCAUAAGCUGCAAUAUACCCCACAAAGUAAAUGCAUCUCUGGUCUGAAUCGACUGCUUAUACUUGUCCACGUAUGCCUUUCCGUCCACAAUCACAAGCCUAAAAUGUGCUGUCCUCCGUGCCCGUUCGAUCAUUUCCCUCGUGAUUCCAGUGUCUCUCCAGGGCCGUAGAUCUUCGUGGAUCCAUCGGAAGUAUGAUGGGCAGGUAGCGUUUGAGGUAUUUGCGGCGGGGUUGUGUUUUCUUGGGUAGUCUUUUGUACAGGUUUGCUGUGUAAGGUUUCCUGUAGUACAUUUAAGUGGGAAUUCUUGUUUCUCUGGGAAUGAUUUUUGAGAAAAAAGACUCCCAAACAUUGCGUAAGUGUCAAAGCAACCCACAACAAUCAAGGCGCCAAGAAAAAGGAGCAAAAAGAAGACUACCAAAACAGUAUUUGCAUUUCUCUUAUUUAGUGGUCGCCAAGGUGUCCUCAAGAAACGUCUAUGAAGCCCUGAGGCAAAGCUGAAAGUGUAGACAGAUUUCUCAUUGUUCUUCUUCUUCUUCUUCAUCAAUGCCCUCUCUUCCUUGCAAAACCUCUAGUUUAUUUCUAUGGCCAUCCCUUGUAAAUUCUAAUCAUAAUGGAGAACACAGGAACGUGCAGUCCUGGGGCUACCUCUGCCAGCCCCAAAUUGAUCAAUCCGGCUCCGUGCAGUAUCUGAACUCCGGUGGUGGGCCAGCAUUUGGGCCGCGAAAGUCCUCCAAUGGACAAAUCAGCCAAUCUUCCAGGUACUCGUUUUUGCCUCUUAAUUUUUUUAAUGUCCAAUUUUAUUUAUUUUUAAAUUUUUAAUUUAACUUAAUUAAAUAUUUUGACUUAAAUUCAAAUUUAAAGUAAGUGGUAUUCACAAAAUAUUUUUGGGCGUGAUUUUUUUUUAAUUUUUUUAUAUUAAUUAAUUAGUUAAAACAAGAGUUAAUU
This 2042-nucleotide unclassified non-coding RNA is filed under the name Hevea brasiliensis (rubber tree). The record is from RNAcentral. Lineage: Eukaryota; Viridiplantae; Streptophyta; Magnoliopsida; Malpighiales; Euphorbiaceae.